RNAcentral lists this ribosomal RNA (710 nucleotides) under uncultured archaeon. RNAcentral describes it as "bacterial SSU rRNA". It matches the Rfam family "Archaeal small subunit ribosomal RNA", at positions 204 to 913 of the family's 1478-position model. The record is from RNAcentral.
GUAGGAUGUGGCUGCGGUUGAUUAGGUUGACGGUGGGGUAACGGCCCACCGUNCCCAUAAUCAGUACAGGUUGUGAGAGCAAGAACCUGGAGACGGAAUNUGAGACAAGAUUCCGGGCCCUACGGGGCGCAGCAGGCGCGAAACCUUUACACUGCACGCACGUGCGAUAAGGGGACUCCGAGUGCGAGGGCAUAUCGUCCUCGCUUUCGUGUACCGUAGGGUGGUACACCAACAAGGGCUGGGCAAGACCGGUGCCAGCCGCCGCGGUAAUACCGGCAGCCCGAGUGAUGACCGAUCUUAUUGGGCCUAAAGCGUCCGUAGCUGGCUACGCAAGUCCGUCGGGAAAUCCACUCGCCCAACGAGUGGGCGUCCGACGGAAACUGCAUAGCUUGGGACCGGAAGGCUCGAAGGGUACGUGCGGGGUAGGAGUGAAAUCCUAUAAUCCCGCACGGACCACCGAUGGCGAAAGCACUUCGAGAAAACGGAUCCGACAGUGAGGGACGAAAGCCAGGGUCUCCAACCGGAUUAGAUACCCGGGUAGUCCUGGCCGUAAACAAUGUUCGCUAGGUAUGACACAGACUACGUGUCUCUGUUGUGCCGUAGGGAAGCCGAGAAGCGAACCGCCUGGGAAGUACGUCUGCAAGGAUGAAACUUAAAGGAAUUGGCGGGGGAGCACUACAACCGGAGGAGCCUGCGGUUUAAUUGGAUUC